UGGUGCUUGCAUCAUGAUUUACAUUUGAGUGAGUGGCGAACUGGUGAGUAACACGUGGGAAACCUGCCCAGAAGCGGGGGAUAACACCUGGAAACAGAUGCUAAUACCGCAUAACAACUUGGACCGCAUGGUCCGAGCUUGAAAGAUGGCUUCGGCUAUCACUUUUGGAUGGUCCCGCGGCGUAUUAGCUAGAUGGUGGGGUAACGGCUCACCAUGGCAAUGAUACGUAGCCGACCUGAGAGGGUAAUCGGCCACAUUGGGACUGAGACACGGCCCAAACUCCUACGGGAGGCAGCAGUAGGGAAUCUUCCACAAUGGACGAAAGUCUGAUGGAGCAACGCCGCGUGAGUGAAGAAGGGUUUCGGCUCGUAAAACUCUGUUGUUAAAGAAGAACAUAUCUGAGAGUAACUGUUCAGGUAUUGACGGUAUUUAACCAGAAAGCCACGGCUAACUACGUGCCAGCAGCCGCGGUAAUACGUAGGUGGCAAGCGUUGUCCGGAUUUAUUGGGCGUAAAGCGAGCGCAGGCGGUUUUUUAAGUCUGAUGUGAAAGCCUUCGGCUCAACCGAAGAAGUGCAUCGGAAACUGGGAAACUUGAGUGCAGAAGAGGACAGUGGAACUCCAUGUGUAGCGGUGAAAUGCGUAGAUAUAUGGAAGAACACCAGUGGCGAAGGCGGCUGUCUGGUCUGUAACUGACGCUGAGGCUCGAAAGUAUGGGUAGCAAACAGGAUUAGAUACCCUGGUAGUCCAUACCGUAAACGAUGAAUGCUAAGUGUUGGAGGGUUUCCGCCCUUCAGUGCUGCAGCUAACGCAUUAAGCAUUCCGCCUGGGGAGUACGGCCGCAAGGCUGAAACUCAAAGGAAUUGACGGGGGCCCGCACAAGCGGUGGAGCAUGUGGUUUAAUUCGAAGCUACGCGAAGAACCUUACCAGGUCUUGACAUACUAUGCAAAUCUAAGAGAUUAGACGUUCCCUUCGGGGACAUGGAUACAGGUGGGUGCAUGGUUGUCGUCAGCUCGUGUCGUGAGAAGUUUGGGGUUAAGUCCCGGCACCGAGCGCCACCCUUUAUUAUCAGUUGCCACCAUUAAAUUGGGCACUCUGGUGAGACUGCCGGUGACAACCCGAGGAAGAGGGGGGGGAGGAAGUCCAAAUCAACUUCCCCCCUAUUAACCGGGGGUCAACAACGGCUCCAAAGGAGGGGUGCACACAAAUUUGGAACUCCCCCGAAGAAGGCAAAUUCUUUAAAACAAUCU
Molecule: ribosomal RNA, 1249 nt
Filed under: Lactiplantibacillus plantarum
Lineage: Bacteria; Bacillati; Bacillota; Bacilli; Lactobacillales; Lactobacillaceae
Description: bacterial SSU rRNA
Rfam family: Bacterial small subunit ribosomal RNA
Source: RNAcentral